Molecule: ribosomal RNA, 253 nt
Filed under: uncultured bacterium
Lineage: Bacteria
Description: partial 16S ribosomal RNA
Rfam family: Bacterial small subunit ribosomal RNA
Source: RNAcentral
UACGAAGGGGGCUAGCGUUGCUCGGAAUCACUGGGCGUAAAGCGCACGUAGGCGGAUUGUUAAGUCAGGGGUGAAAUCCUGGAGCUCAACUCCAGAACUGCCUUUGAUACUGGCGAUCUUGAGUCCGGGAGAGGUGAGUGGAACUGCGAGUGUAGAGGUGAAAUUCGUAGAUAUCGGAAGGAACGCCGGUGGCGAAAGCGGCGCGCUGGACCUCUUCUGACGCUGAGGCGCGAAAGCUAGGGGAGCAAACGGG